GUGGGGAAUAUUGGACAAUGGGGGCAACCCUGAUCCAGCAAUGCCGCGUGUGUGAAGAAGGUCUUCGGAUCGUAAAGCACUUUCGACGGGGACGAUGAUGACGGUACCCGUAGAAGAAGCCCCGGCUAACUUCGUGCCAGCAGCCGCGGUAAUACGAAGGGGGCUAGCGUUGCUCGGAAUUACUGUGCGUAAAGGGCGCGUAGGCGGCUCUGUUAGUCAGGCGUGAAAUUCCUGGGCUUAACCUGGGGACUGCGCUUGAUACUGCGGAGCUUGAGGCCGAGAGAGGGUGGUGGAAUUCCCAGUGUAGAGGUGAAAUUCGUAGAUAUUGGGAAGAACACCGGUGGCGAAGGCGACCACCUGGCUCGGUUCUGACGCUGAGGCGCGACAGCGUGGGGAGCAAACAGGAUUAGAAACCCGUGUAGUCC
This 425-nucleotide ribosomal RNA is filed under the name uncultured bacterium. RNAcentral's name for it is "partial 16S ribosomal RNA". It matches the Rfam family "Bacterial small subunit ribosomal RNA", at positions 354 to 796 of the family's 1533-position model. The record is from RNAcentral.